UAGGGAAUCUUCCACAAUGGACGCAAGUCUGAUGGAGCAACGCCGCGUGAGUGAAGAAGGUUUUCGGAUCGUAAAGCUCUGUUGUUGGUGAAGAAGGAUAGAGGCAGUAACUGGUCUUUAUUUGACGGUAAUCAACCAGAAAGUCACGGCUAACUACGUGCCAGCAGCCGCGGUAAUACGUAGGGGGCAAGCGUUGUCCGGAUUUAUUGGGCGUAAAGCGAGCGCAGGCGGAAUGAUAAGUCUGAUGUGAAAGCCCACGGCUCAACCGUGGAACUGCAUCGGAAACUGUCAUUCUUGAGUGCAGAAGAGGAGAGUGGAAUUCCAUGUGUAGCGGUGGAAUGCGUAGAUAUAUGGAAGAACACCAGUGGCGAAGGCGGCUCUCUGGUCUGCAACUGACGCUGAGGCUCGAAAGCAUGGGUAGCGAACAGG
RNAcentral lists this ribosomal RNA (429 nucleotides) under bacterium. RNAcentral describes it as "partial 16S ribosomal RNA". It matches the Rfam family "Bacterial small subunit ribosomal RNA", at positions 355 to 776 of the family's 1533-position model. The record is from RNAcentral.